RNAcentral lists this non-coding RNA (31 nucleotides) under Mus musculus (house mouse). Lineage: Eukaryota; Metazoa; Chordata; Mammalia; Rodentia; Muridae. The record is from RNAcentral.
UAGAAACUCUCUCAAGAAAUAACCUCACAAU